AACGAACGCUGGCGGCAGGCCUAACACAUGCAAGUCGAACGCUCGUAGCAAUACGGGAGUGGCAGGCGGGUGAGUAACACGUGGGAACCUUCCCUAUGGUUCGGAAUAGCUCAGGGAAACUUGGGGUAAUACCGGAUAAGCCCUUCGGGGAAGGAUUUAUUCGCCAUUGGAUGGGCCCGGCGUCGGAUUAGCUAGUUGGUGAGGUAACGGCUCACCAAGGCAACGAUCCGUAGCUGGUCUGAGAGGAUGAUCAGCCACACUGGGACUGAGACACGGCCCAGACUCCUACGGGAGGGCAGCAGUGGGGAAUAUUGGACAAUGGGCGCAAGCCUGAUCCAGCCAUGCCG
This 347-nucleotide ribosomal RNA is filed under the name uncultured bacterium. RNAcentral's name for it is "bacterial SSU rRNA". It matches the Rfam family "Bacterial small subunit ribosomal RNA", at positions 29 to 399 of the family's 1533-position model. The record is from RNAcentral.